UACGGGGGGGCAAGCGUUGUUCGGAAUUACUGGGCGUAAAGGGCUCGUAGGUGGCCAACUAAGUCAGACGUGAAAUCCCUCAGCUUAACUGGGGAACUGCGUCUGAUACUGGAUGGCUUGAGUUUGGGAGAGGGACGCGGAAUUCCAGGUGUAGCGGUGAAAUGCGUAGAUAUCCGGAGGAACACCGGUGGCGAAGGCGGCUUCCUGGACCGACACUGACGCUGAGGCGCGAAAGCUAGGGGAGCAAACGGG
RNAcentral lists this ribosomal RNA (252 nucleotides) under uncultured bacterium. Its description in RNAcentral is "partial 16S ribosomal RNA". It matches the Rfam family "Bacterial small subunit ribosomal RNA", at positions 524 to 776 of the family's 1533-position model. The record is from RNAcentral.